CAGAGUUCGUGCCCUCGCGGGUAGAUCUCCCACCCUGCGUUAUCGUUACCUUCGUUGCUUUGGCGGGCCGCCCGGCCCCGGUCAGGCUACCGGCUCACGCUGGUAAGCGCCCGCCAGAGCCCCUUUAAACCCUGUCUUACAGUGUCGUCCGAGUACUAUAUAAUAGUUA
Molecule: unclassified non-coding RNA, 169 nt
Filed under: uncultured Helotiales
Lineage: Eukaryota; Fungi; Ascomycota; Leotiomycetes; Helotiales
Description: sequence contains ITS1
Source: RNAcentral